Long non-coding RNA from Rhagoletis zephyria (snowberry fruit fly), 790 nucleotides. RefSeq lists it as uncharacterized. The record is from RefSeq and is a predicted model, not a curated record. Lineage: Eukaryota; Metazoa; Arthropoda; Insecta; Diptera; Tephritidae.
UAUUUUCAGAAAAAUGGUUGCGUGCAUCGUCGUCAAAUGGAACGUGAUUCGAGCCACUCAAAUUAUUGGUGUAGGUCACUUUAAGAAUUAAACAGUGUCAAUGCAAUUCAUCAAUAUUAGUACUCAUCGCCUUGCAUGAAUUCUAUAAAAGCAGUCUUCUUCAUUGAGUAGACCUACAUGUCAAAUUCUUGUGAGGAUGUUGGGAUUUUUGGUUCGUCCGAAGCAUUUCCUAUUAUGUAUUAAGUGACGGUACACAAUUUGAAGCAGUCAAUCAUUGCAUUUGUAGGCAUGCAUUAUAGGGCUGUUCAGGAUCUUGUGCAUAUGCUCUUUCAUUUGCAUAUUUGUUUCAUUUGUAAAUUCACCACAAUAAAAUGCACACAGUUGCCACGGCAGCAAGCAUAAAAUUUGCAAAUGCAAUUCCUACUGAAAAUCUAAGACAAUUUCGCUAACAUCCUGAAGAGCCCUUAUAUGUUUUAUGCACAUGGAUAUACGAAGACGUAAGCACUCCUGUUGCAGGCAGUGAUAUUAUAUUUAAUAUCAGUGUAAGUGGUUUUGUCUUCUUCCAAUGGCGGUGGUGCUGGUGCAUGAGGUGGCGAUUGCACAAUUUUACAACCAACAGUAUAGAGACAACAAAAUCGAACCAUAUAGUGUAUGUGAUGGCAGUAUGCAGAGAAUAAAAUUGCUUCGAGUGCUUGCAUUGCAUUGUUACAUAAGUGUAUGGAAAUAAAUCAUACGUUAACAGUGUGAAGCAGUUAUUUCUAUUGGGCAUGCACGUUUUAAUACUUAAACU